RNAcentral lists this ribosomal RNA (702 nucleotides) under Triticum aestivum (bread wheat). Its description in RNAcentral is "partial small subunit ribosomal RNA". The record is from RNAcentral. Lineage: Eukaryota; Viridiplantae; Streptophyta; Magnoliopsida; Poales; Poaceae.
AUGGCCUUCCACCUAAGAUCGAUAAGUUUGCCAUCAAGGCCUCAGGCCAACGAGACUGAAGUCGAGCAAGAGGUGUUGAGCCUAGAGGCAAGCAUCUCUUCUUCGACUACCACCAUCGGUACCAUGUGUGCCGGUCUGAGGAGGCUCGGGGACAUCUACAAUGGUGUUGAAGAGAUUAUUGGCCUGCCAAGCAACCAGGUUGGCAAGAUGUUGGAUUCAGAGAUUGAAGGCUCUCUCGAGCUGCUAGAUCUCUGCAGCACCAUGCAAGAGAUCUUCGUCGAGAUGAAGGCCAUCAUCCAAGAGCUACAGGUAGCUCUAAGAAAAGGAGAUGAUGCAACUGCUCAAGCCAAGAUCCAGUCUUAUGUUCGUUUGGUGAAGACGGCCAAGAAACAUUUCAAGAAGAGCGCGAAGAAGGCUAAUGUUGUUUCUGCGGCUUGCAAGGUGGUCAUGCUAUUGACCAAAGCUAGAGAGGUUUCUGUGUCUCUGUUGGAGUCCACAGUCCAUCUCUUGUCAAAGGAAAUCAGAAUGCCAAAACAGUCUCUUGUCUCCAAGGCAUUUCACAAGAAGAAGGCAGUUGUCUGCCAGGAGGAGCAAUUGCAGGAGUUAGAGUGUAGUAUUGGAGAUCUCGAGAAUGGGGCGGGACAUCUGUUCAGGAAAUUAAUCCAGAUCAGAGUUUCUCUCUUGGACAUUCUUAGCUCAUAG